Molecule: long non-coding RNA, 272 nt
Organism: Pygocentrus nattereri (red-bellied piranha)
Lineage: Eukaryota; Metazoa; Chordata; Actinopteri; Characiformes; Serrasalmidae
Exons: 3
Source: RefSeq, a predicted model, not a curated record
CAUCAGUUCACUGACCACAGAACCAACCACAUCCUCAACAUCUAAAAGCCCAUCAUCUUCAACGUCUGCUUCUGCUUCCUCUGUGACGACUGCUGUGUCUGUUCUGAUUCUGGUGCUGCUUCUGAUUGGACUCGUAUUUCUCAUACUCUGUUUACAAAAGAGAGGCCAGAUUCAAGAUGCUGAUGUUUCCACAGUCAUCUACACUACUUCUCAAUUACCUACAAGCCUCUCUGAACCUUCUCAAACUGUUUAUGAUGACGGCCAGGUACCCU